Molecule: unclassified non-coding RNA, 353 nt
Filed under: Hevea brasiliensis (rubber tree)
Lineage: Eukaryota; Viridiplantae; Streptophyta; Magnoliopsida; Malpighiales; Euphorbiaceae
Source: RNAcentral
AUUGCACUACAAGUUUGCAAUGGCAUGCAUGCCUAAAAUUUUGAAGUUAUGGUGGCCAUGCAUUUUACAAUUUUGAAGUAUGUAAUAGAUGAUUCGAAGGGAAUAAUAUUUUCCAUUUAUCAACUUGAGCACAGAACAUGUCUUUUAUAUUGAAAGAUUUUAUACAAUUUCUAUCAUGAUAAGGAUCUUGUUAUGGAUCUGUGUGUCUUGUUAUGGAUCUAUGAGUAGAGGGUGUAAGUUGGACUUAAGGCUAAGUGUUUUGUUCAUUUCAUUCUUUCUUCAUACUAUGCGGUAAGCUUUUGUACUUUUGGAAAUUUUUUAGAGGAAUUUUGUAAAUAAGAAAAUGAAUCUUG